Molecule: ribosomal RNA, 478 nt
Filed under: uncultured bacterium
Lineage: Bacteria
Description: partial 16S ribosomal RNA
Rfam family: Bacterial small subunit ribosomal RNA
Source: RNAcentral
GACGAACGCUGGCGGCGUGCUUAACACAUGCAAGUCGAACGGUAAGGCCCUUCGGGGUACACGAGUGGCGAACGGGUGAGUAACACGUGGGUGAUCUGCCCUGCACUUCGGGAUAAGCCUGGGAAACUGGGUCUAAUACCGGAUAGGACUCCGGACUGCAUGGUCUGGGGUGGAGAGCUUUUGCGGUGUGGGAUGGGCCCGCGGCCUAUCAGCUUGUUGGUGGGGUGAUGGCCUACCAAGGCGACGACGGGUAGCCGGCCGGGGAGGGUGACCGGCCACACUGGGACUGAGAUACGGCCCAGACUCCUACGGGAGGCAGCAGUGGGGAAUAUUGCACAAUGGGCGCAAGCCUGAUGCAGCGACGCCGCGUGAGGGAUGACGGCCUUCGGGUUGUAAACCUCUUUCAGCAUCGACGAAGCGAAAGUGACGGUAGGUGCAGAAGAAGGACCGGCCAACUACGUGCCAGCCGCCGCAGUAA